RNAcentral lists this long non-coding RNA (212 nucleotides) under Lathyrus oleraceus (garden pea). RNAcentral describes it as "Pisum sativum (pea) long non-coding RNA (PSAT_LNC028932)". The record is from RNAcentral. Lineage: Eukaryota; Viridiplantae; Streptophyta; Magnoliopsida; Fabales; Fabaceae.
UUUGCUAUAAAUAGAGGUCCAAUGCCUCAGUUUGAAGGACCUUGGGCGCCAACUUUGCCUCCAACCAUUGAAACCCUCUCCAUUCAAAGGAAAACCUGAUAAAUUUCAAUUGAAAUUUGAGUUUGAAUCUCACUGUUUGGAGAUUCAAAAACCCCAGGAUCCAAAGCCUUGCACCAUUCUUAAUCCACUUCUACAAGCUCCACAAGCAAGAU